RNAcentral lists this ribosomal RNA (394 nucleotides) under uncultured bacterium. RNAcentral's name for it is "partial 16S ribosomal RNA". It matches the Rfam family "Bacterial small subunit ribosomal RNA", at positions 338 to 729 of the family's 1533-position model. The record is from RNAcentral.
CCUACGGGCGGCAGCAGUGAGGAAUAUUGGUCAAUGGACGCGAGCCUGAACCAGCCAAGUAGCGUGAAGGAUGACUGCCCUACGGGUUGUAAACUUCUUUUAUGCAGGAAUAAAGUGAGUCACGUGUGCCUUUUUGUAUGUACUUUAUGAAUAAGGAUCGGCUAAUUCCGUGCCAGCAGCCGCGGUAAUACGGAGGGUCCGUGCGUUAUCCGGAUUUAUUGGGUUUAAAGGGAGCGUAGGUGGGUUAUUAAGUGAGUUGGGAAAGUGUGCGGCUCAACCGUGAAACUGCAAUUGAUACUGGGGGUCUUGAGUACAGCUGAGGUAGGCGGAAUUCGUGGUGUAGCGGUGAAAUGCUUAGAUAUCACGAAGAACUCCGAUUGCGAAGGCAGCUUAC